RNAcentral lists this ribosomal RNA (19 nucleotides) under Juniperus communis (common juniper). RNAcentral's name for it is "partial 26S ribosomal RNA". The record is from RNAcentral. Lineage: Eukaryota; Viridiplantae; Streptophyta; Pinopsida; Cupressales; Cupressaceae.
CGCGUCCCGGGGCCCCCCU